GCGUUGUCCGGAAUCACUGGGCGUAAAGGGCGCGUAGGCGGCCUGGUAAGUAGGGGGUGAAAUCCUGCGGCUUAACCGCAGGGCUGCCUUCUAAACUGUCAGGCUAGAGCACAGUAGAGGCAGGUGGAAUUCCCGGUGUAGCGGUGGAAUGCGUAGAGAUCGGGAAGAACAUCAGUGGCGAAGGCGGCCUGCUGGGCUGUUGCUGACGCUGAGGCGCGACAGCGUG
RNAcentral lists this ribosomal RNA (226 nucleotides) under uncultured bacterium. RNAcentral describes it as "partial 16S ribosomal RNA". It matches the Rfam family "Bacterial small subunit ribosomal RNA", at positions 538 to 763 of the family's 1533-position model. The record is from RNAcentral.